RNAcentral lists this long non-coding RNA (217 nucleotides) under Elaeis guineensis (African oil palm). Its description in RNAcentral is "long non-coding RNA (EGUI_LNC030652)". Lineage: Eukaryota; Viridiplantae; Streptophyta; Magnoliopsida; Arecales; Arecaceae. The record is from RNAcentral.
GCCUGGAACCUAAAUUUUUUUUCUUAAGUUGGUCUAAGUAGGCCUUUGGUCUGGCUUAAUAAGGUCCAGAACACCAAUCCACAUGCUUGGCACAUGAUGGAGGAGAAGAAGACUCCUGAUGGGAGUCCUCUCCCCUUCCAACUCUGUCGGACAUAGGGAGACCAGGGCCAUCCAAAAUUGAGCUAGAAAACCCUAAAUCUUGGCUAUAAAUGGUAGA